GUGCUGGGAUUACAGAUAUGAGCCACUGAGCCCAGCCAAGGCCACAGUAUCUUAAUCUCUAGCCAUUUGCUUGAACACCUACAUGAAUGUCAAGCAAUUGGUAAGGUGGUCUCAACCCUAAGCAGAUGGACCAAACCCUGAAAAAUGGAGAAGCAACAAAUAAAAGUGUCAUGCAAUUAUUGACAAUGGAAUAAAUAUACAGAAGACCAAAAGAAAUUCAGAAAUCAUACAGCAUCGAUAUUGCACUCCAGCCUGGGCAACAAGAACGAAACAUCAUCUCAAAAAAACAAAAGUUUACUCUUUUAUCUCAAAAGUUUAUUGUAUGAUAUAAAUCUUCAGCUUUGGCAGAACACCAUUUUAAACACUCAACCAUUCUG
RNAcentral lists this small RNA (377 nucleotides) under Pongo abelii (Sumatran orangutan). RNAcentral's name for it is "processed transcript". The record is from RNAcentral. Lineage: Eukaryota; Metazoa; Chordata; Mammalia; Primates; Hominidae.